GAGCACGUAGGGGGUUUGUAAGUCAGAUGUGAAAGCCUUCUGUUCAACGGAAGAAUUGCAUCUGAAACUGCUAAUCUUGAGUAUAGGAGGGGAGAAUGGAACUUCUGGUGGAGCGGUGAAAUGCGUAGAUAUCAGAAGGAACGCCGGCGGCGAAAGCGAUUCUCUGGCCUAUUACUGACACUCAGUGUGCGAGAGCUAGGGGAGCAAACGGGAUUAGAUACCCCGAGCAGCUGU
This 234-nucleotide ribosomal RNA is filed under the name Candidatus Scalindua brodae. RNAcentral describes it as "partial 16S ribosomal RNA". It matches the Rfam family "Bacterial small subunit ribosomal RNA", at positions 565 to 803 of the family's 1533-position model. The record is from RNAcentral. Lineage: Bacteria; Pseudomonadati; Planctomycetota; Candidatus Brocadiia; Candidatus Brocadiales; Candidatus Scalinduaceae.